CAGAGGGUAGUUUAAUUUAGAAUUCUAGCUUUGGGAGCUAGUCGUGGGAGUUAAAAUCUCCUCUCUCUGA
RNAcentral lists this transfer RNA (70 nucleotides) under Brosme brosme. Its description in RNAcentral is "tRNA-Pro". It matches the Rfam family "tRNA". Rfam says of the family: Transfer RNA (tRNA) molecules are approximately 80 nucleotides in length. The record is from RNAcentral. Lineage: Eukaryota; Metazoa; Chordata; Actinopteri; Gadiformes; Lotidae.